AUCGGUUGAUCCUGCCGGAGGUUACUGCUAUUGGAAUCCGAUUAAGCCAUGCGAGUCGAUCGGGUCAGACCCGAGGCGCACUGCUCAGUAACACGUGGAGAAUCUGCCCUUAGGUGAGGAAUAACCUCGGGAAACUGAGAAUAAUACCUCAUAGGUUAUGAAUGCUGGAAUGCUUCAUAGCUCAAAGCCCCGGCGCCUAAGGAUGACUCUGCGGACUAUCAGGUAGUAGUCAGGGUAACGACCUGACUAGCCUACGACGGAUACGGGGUGUGAGAGCACUAGCCCGGAGAUGGAUUCUGAGACACGAAUCCAGGCCCUACGGGGUGCAGCAGGCGCGAAACUUCCGCAAUGCUCGCCAGAGUGACGGAGGGAUUCCAAGUGCCUAUGCUAUGCGUAGGCU
RNAcentral lists this ribosomal RNA (400 nucleotides) under uncultured archaeon. Its description in RNAcentral is "bacterial SSU rRNA". It matches the Rfam family "Archaeal small subunit ribosomal RNA", at positions 1 to 408 of the family's 1478-position model. The record is from RNAcentral.